GCGGCAGCGACCGGCAGCCUCCGACCGGCCCUGCCGGCCUGCUCUCGCCUGGCCGCAGCCGGGGCCGGCUGCCGUCGGGGCGGCGGUUCGGAGGCGGCCGCGGCGGGAAGCGGAGCCGGGCCGGGCGCAGGAGGGCGCGGCGGGAUGAAGGCGGGAGGGAGAGGGGCGGGAGCGGGACUGCGAGCCCUGCUAAGCCUGGCUCCGGGCUCGGGUGCGCUCGCCGGGCAGGUGCCUGCUCCCUGCCGUUUAAGCAUUGCAUCCGUAAUUUUUUUUUAAGUGCUGCUCUUCUAAAUUAGGCUGAAGCCAUUGCGUGGUUACUUUGAGCUGCCCCAGAGGCAGGCUCCCUGUGGGAGGGAGUCUUUGGCAAGACGGCGGCUCCUUUGCGCUAAACUAAGCCAAACCGGGAAGUGGCCCAGCUGAAAACUCACUCAACAAAACCAGUUUCCGUCUGGAGCGGCUCCCUGAGAUGCGACAAGGCAGUGCCAGCGCAAAAGAGGAACGUGCGAGAGCAGAGGGAGAACAUGACUCCAACAGCCAUCGUAGACACCAGCUUAAGGGAAGGACACCCAGCUCUGCUCGUGAGCAUCUUCUGGAUCCAUUCAUCAGUGGAAGGUCACACGGGCUGGGACAGGGACACCUCUGCUGCUCCGAGUGACAUGAGCAUCACUCAUCUUGAGAACAGAAAUAAUGUCACUACUCAGAGAAGAGUGGUUUGGACAUACAUCAAGUAUGCUAAAUGCAAGGAUAAACGUGAGUGGCACACAAGGCUUGCAGUACUGCUAGCCAAAAUCACUUCAUCACAAGAGUCUUAGCAGCAAAGUUGUUCUAAAGUAUCUGCAGGUGGUAAAUAAAUAAUGGGAUGUGAAAAUCGUAUUAAAAUUUGUGUUUGUAUGGUUAUGGAGGAAAUCUUAAAAGCAGGAGUAUUGAAAGUCAAGGAUCAAAAAGUAUAUGGUUCCCAAAUCCAUUUUUAAAACUCCCUCUUGAUGUUUAAGCCUUGAGAAAUUGAGGGUUUCCUAAAAGACUGAGCGAUGCAUAUUCAAAUAAAUAAAAGAGGACCAACUGAGCAGAAAAUACAACAUAAUUCUUGGUUUUAUCCUCAGA
Dromaius novaehollandiae (emu) is the source of this 1101-nucleotide long non-coding RNA. RefSeq lists it as uncharacterized. Lineage: Eukaryota; Metazoa; Chordata; Aves; Casuariiformes; Dromaiidae. The transcript has 2 exons. The record is from RefSeq and is a predicted model, not a curated record.